Molecule: long non-coding RNA, 34289 nt
Filed under: Coffea arabica (coffee)
Lineage: Eukaryota; Viridiplantae; Streptophyta; Magnoliopsida; Gentianales; Rubiaceae
Description: long non-coding RNA (CARA_LNC000901)
Source: RNAcentral
AAGAAGAUGGCGUACAUCUACAAGGCUAAGGUUAAGAAGAAUGGAUCUCAUUACCGCUGCAUUUGGGGAAAGGUUUGCCGGCCUCACGGUAACAGCGGCCUUGUCCGAGCCAAGAUGAAGUCCAACCUGCCCCCCAAGUCAAUGGUAAUACUAACUGUACUGAUGUUCCUUUAUUUAUUUUUCCUAUUUGGUUUGCUAUUUGUUUUUCUUAAAUGAAUGUUUCUGUAUUUUGAUAUUUCAGGGAUCAAGGGUUCGGGUCUUCAUGUACCCAAGCAAUAUUUAAGGUAUUCUUUAUCCGCUUUUUUGAAAAUUUUCCAAGGUUAUGUUUAUGGUUGCUUUUUGGUGAAAAUUUUGUUACCUAUACUUUUCAGUGAGAUGUUUCUUUUGCGAUAUCUGAAUUAGAGUUUAAUAAUUUGGGUCGUUUACAGGAUGCUCUAACUUGUAGAGUUUGGUAUUUUGAGUAACUUCCAAGGUUGGUCGAUAUUUGGAGUUGAUUUUUUGGGUUGGAGUCUGUAUAUAUAGAUAUGUGGUCGCAAUUUACUUUUGUUCCUCAUAUUGCUUUCAUGAGUGCUUUCCCUUUGACAAUGAUGUGUGCUUGUACUAAUUUUUGAAGCUUUCUUUGUUAGAAUGGUUGUAAGGAGGAGCUGGUCUUUGUGAAGAAUUUGCUUGAAGUUUUACACAUCCGUCUUUAUGCAAUACUAAAAUUUGUAGGCUUAUAGAGCUCAGCUUGAGUAGCGGAUGGUUUUACCAGAUUUCUUGUGUUGGAGUUGAGUUUUACCAGAUUUAUAGUUAUGGCUUAAAUUUUCAGACAUGCAUCAUUUUAGUGAAUGAUGAGGUAAUAUGGAGAAGUUUUUCAUGAGAACAGUUUGUGUGGUUACUGGUGAACAUGACCAAAAAAUGUGGGUGGAGGGAGAGCGAGCAAGAUGCGGAUCUUAAGACUAUACAGAGGAUGUCAAUCAUGCUUAAAAUUGUUUGUGUUGCACAAUUCAUCCAAAAUAUGGCUGUUAGAUAUGCAGAAUUGAUGGAGAUUUGUGUGCACAACAUGUGGGGGGUGAAAGGGACAGAUUUUGUUAAUUUUCAUGAGGGGACUUUGAUUUGUUAAGUAAUAUCCCCUCCACAUUUCAGGAAGCAUGUUAGAAAAGACGGCACUGUGGCUAGUUUCCAAGUAUUUUGAAACUUCCCCAGUGUAAGUUAUCCAAAGUUACUGCAGACACAGUUGAAAGCAAUUUUGUUGAUCGGCACAGAUUUAUCCUAAUUUAAUAUAAUGAGUUAGAUUAGCAUUCAAUAGCUUUAAGUUGACUUCUUUUUGGACACAGUUUGAUGUUCUGCUGUUGGGGCACUGAUGUGUAAUGUUUAGCUUGCGGCGGGUUUCUCAUAUGCAUGUAUGCUACAUUUUCCAUGUUUGACCUGUUCCAUCUGGCUAUGACUAGAAGCUACUCCUGAUUUUUGUGAUCAUUAUCGUUUCUACUGUUUCCAUUCUUAGUGUUGCCAUGAAUUAGGUUUUGUUAAAUUGGUAUGGAGUCGUUUUUGACUAUUUGCUUGGCUACUAGUCAUUUGUUUGGACAUUUACAGUUUUCUUAUGUUGUUGCAGUGUUCCAGCAAAAGUAGGAGCAGACUGCUUGAGGUCAUUGGUGGCUUUAGAAGGUCAUUGGUGAUUGAAGGACGGUAUUUAGAGUCAAAAUAUACCCCUUUUUUUGUGGACUUACCCUGGUCUCUGAAUUUAUCAUGUUUGUUUAAUACUAUGAAUUGAACUUGCAAUCUGAUGAGGCAAAUUUUGAUUGUUUGGAUUUAUCCUUUUUCACUUGGGUGUUUUUGAUCGUUAGUCAACCAGAAUUAUUGUUGAUUCGUCUCUUCAUGAUGUGACUGUGGGUAUUGUUUGAGGUUAGCUUCCUUCUGAUUUUCUCGAUAAUUUGCUGUCGAUCAAAUCAGUUGGGAACGUUCCUACCCGGUUCCUGUUUACAUCUGGGAUGCGAAUCUGUUAUCGAUAGCUCUUCUUCCUCGACUUUUUCCCAAGAAAAUAGUUGAACUGAAGAGACUCUAUAGUGAAUAAUAAGUGCGGCUUCUUAAUUCUUAUACUGGAAGGUAUGUCUGCGUCGGUAGGUGGUUUUUUUUUUUUUUGGCCCGCUUUCGAACUCUUUUACCUCUUUCUUUGGACAAUUUCUUAACAGGUUAAUUACCUUUACCUCCCUCAAAUUUUUUCUGUAUUUCAAUCAGCCCCUUAGGUGUGAUCAAAUUACAAAUUCAUCCCCCCAAGAUCAAAAUUUCAAACUAUCACACCCUUACCAUUUGUACUAUAACGUUGACCACAUAAUCAUGUUUCCACUAAAUGAGCAAAGAUUUAUCGUGAAAGUCCUAAAAUGUCCAUGUAAACCCGAAGUUCUUCUUUUCCUGUGUUUUCAUGCGCAAUUAAGUGGACCUUGGAGAUAAAAAUUAUGGAGGCGCCUCCAAGCCAAGUGCUUCGAUUUGGCAAUAAUACAACAAAAUUUCAAAGAAAUUUCACUAAAAUAGAUCACAAUUCUUCUAGGAAAUAAAGGAAAAUUAAGUUUAUCAAAAUUUGAGAAGCCCAAAGAAUUUGUUCCAAAAUUUUAUGAAAAUAUAAAGGGAAAAAAAAUAAAUGAUUUACAAAAUAAAGGACAAUAAGCUAUUAGUUCUUUGGAGCAAGUCUUAAACGGUACAUGCAAACUAGGGAAUAGGAUAAUCUCAAGGGAAAAAAAAGGAAAAGAGGAAUGAGGUUUAAUAGAUGAUUUUUGUAAUUUCACCGAAACAUGCAUACCCAAGCACUCAAAUUGCCGAUCUACCAUAAUCUUCAUCAUAUCCAUCUCAAACACCAUAAAAUCUUCAGAACAUUUAGGGUGAAUUAAAAAUAAAUUCUAACAGGCUUUCAAAUUUAUCCAAAAUUUAGUUUAUCGUGGUAUGAUUUCUCAAUAUUGUAUGCUUUUUUGGGUUUUGUGUAUUUCAAUGGAGGCUAGAAAAAGACGGGAGGGCAGAAGGUUAGCGGGUGUCUUGGUGAUUGGUGAAGCAUACUUUGCAAUCAGAUUUUGCAGCAUCCCAGACUACAAGGGGUAAGAUCGAGGGGCAUGAAGGUAGGAUCUUGAGAGCUUGGACAAUAUAUCAAGAAUUGUAGGGAUGGAAGAAUUCUUCAGUCUUUCUUUGUUCUUUCUUCCUCAUUGAUUUUUUUCUUCUAGCCCCUGCUUGUUUCUUUGAAGCAAAAUUCUCUGUCUUUGGUUUCUGGUAGCUCAUUUACUAAUUUCAUUUUUGGCAUGUUUUAGAUGACGGUAUUGUUGUACCUUUGUAACAUCCGUUAAUUGGGUUUAAACAGUGUCAUUUGUAUGGGGUGAUUGUUAUUUGAUUAAAACUCAAGGUUUAUUUUGUAGUUUGGCUGAACCUCCGAGGAGUUGUAUGUAAUUAACCCUUCCUUAACCUUAAUCUUUUCUAGUUACUAUUUCGUUUCCUUAAAAAUGAUGUUAAAAAUCAAACUGUCUGCAUUGGCAUCCAAGAAUGUGAGAAUAUGGGGUUAUUUUGAUGGGUAAAAACUCGAGUAAAUUUGGUUUUCAAAAAUUCAAUGAUUCAGACUGCGUCACUUUUCGAAUUAUUUGCAUUCGCAUCAAAGAAUAUGAGAAUGUGGGGUUAUUUUGAUGGGUAAAAGUUGGGAUGAAUUUGGUUUUCAAAUAUUCAAUGAUCAAGAUUGUGUCAUAUUACUUGGUAAGCGAGGUGACACAAUUUAGAUUAUUGAAUUUUUGAAAAUUACAAGUGAUUUAACAUAAUUUAGAUCAUUAAGGGCGUGUUUGGAUCCCUUGUUUUUAAGGCCGUUUUUGAAAAACUAUUUUUCACAUUUCAAAUGUUACAGUAAAUGUAUAUUUCCAAAACAAUUCCAAAAACAACAUAUCCAAACAUUAUAUCAAAAACAACUACAUAUCUAUAUUUCAAUUAUGUAUAUUAUAUAUAUAUAUAUAUAUAUAUUAUAUUAAUAUAAAUUGAAAUAUACAAAUUGAAAAUUAUAUAUAUAUUAUAUAUAAUAUAAAUAUUUAUAUAAAUUAAUAUUAUACAUAAUAUUGUAUAUUAUACAUAAUAUAAUAUAAUAUACAUAAUAUGUAAUAUUGUACACAUAAAUGUGUAAAUAUUUAUACAUAAUAUAUUAUGUACAUUAUAUUAUAAUAUAUACAUUAUUAAUGUAUAAUAUUAUUAUGUACAUUAUUGUGUAUAAUAAUGUUAUGUAUAAUAUAUAAUAUACAUAAUAUGUAAUAAUGUAUAUUAUGUAUAAUAUAUUAUAUUAUGUAUAGUAUACUAUAUAUAUACAAUAUUAUGUAUAUUAUACAAAUUGAAAUUUAUAUAUUAAAUAUUAUAUGCAUAUUUAUAUAAUGAAAUAUACAAUAAACAUUACAAAUUGAAAUAUUAUAUAAACACCAUAUUUAUAAUAUUAUAAUCUUUAUAAUUAAUAUUAAUGUAUAUUAUAUAUAUUAAAUAUUUAUAUAUUUAUUUAUACAUAUUAUAAAUAUUUUUAUAUAUUUAUAUGAGUAUUAUAUAUUAUAUAAAUUAUAUAUAAUAUAACAUAUAUUACAUAUUAUAUAUAUUAUACAUUUAUAUAAAUGUACAUUUAUACAUAAUAUAUAUAUUAAUGUAUAUUUAUAAUAUACAUUUAUAUUAUGUAUUAUAUAUAAUAUAAUACAUUUGUAAUACAUUUAUACAUUUAUAUUAAUAUACAUAAAAUUAAUUUUAUAUUUACAUAAUAUUAAUAUAUUUGUACAUUUAUAUUAAUUAUAUUAAUACAUUUAUACUUAAUAUUAAUAUAUAUUAAUAAAAUUAUAAUUUAUAUAUUUAUAUAAUAUUCAUUUAUAAUUUAUACAUUUAUAAUAAUAUAGACUUAUACGUUUAUAAAUAUAUUUAUAUUAUGUAUUAUAUAUAAUAUAAUACAUUUAUAUAUUUUUAUAUAAAUACAUAAAUAUAUUUAUUUAUAAAUAUUUAUAAAUGUAUUAUAAAUGCAUAAAUAUAUAUUUAUAUAAAAAUAUAAAAUUUAUAAUUUAUAAUUUAUAAUUUAUACAUAUAUAAUAUUCAUUUAUAAUUUAUACAUUUACAAUAAUAUGCACUUAUAUAUUUAUAAAUAUAUUUAUAUUAUUUAUUAUAUAUAAUAUAAUAAAUUUAUAAUAAAUUUAUAUAUUUUUAAAUAUAUUUAUUUAUAAAUAUUUAUAAAUGUAUUAUAAAUGCAUAAAUGUAUAUUUAUAUAAAAAUUAUAAAUUAUAAAUUUUAAUUUAUACAUUUAUAUAAUAUUCAUUUAUAAUUUAUACAUUUAUAAUAAUAUACACUUAUAUAUUUAUAACUAUAUUUAUAUUAUGUAUUAUAUAUAAUAUAAUACAUUUAUAUAUUUUUUAGAGAAUAUAUAAAUAUAUUCAUUUAUAAAUAUUUAUAAAUGUAGUAUAAAUGCAUAAAUGUAUAUAAAAAUUAAAAAUAUAAAUUAUAAAUUAUAAAAAUACCAAAAAAUAUGUUUUAAAAAUACCUCUAAAAAUAAUCCAUAAAACAUAUAUAGUAAAAGUUUUUCAUAUAGUUUUUGAAAAACAACUCCAAAAACAACUAAUCCAAACGGACUUGUAUUUAAAAAACAAAAUGCUACAGUGCUGUUUUUGAAAAACAACCCCAAAAACAGCUAAUCCAAACAGAGCCUAAAUUUUUUAAAAUUGGAUCUACUCAAGUGUAAGUAAUUUUAACAUGGAUCAAUCUUCUUCUUGUGGAACGACUUGCAGGGGUAUCUUGGUUCUUUAUUUUUUCUUCUUUUGGAUAACUGUCAAAUUUUACAUUUCCGACUUUUUUAUUGUGCUUAAUGUUGGCCUAAUCAGCAACAUCCCUCAGAUCCCGGCUCGAAGGGACUAACCGCCCAGCCCGUGGCACCCAGGGGUGCAGCCCCUCAUGCUGGCCGAGCGUGGUACGGUGCUUUGCGCUGCCAUUGUGGUUAAGGAAAUAAAGUUGCGCCUUCGCUAACAGCUAUAACUUUUGGUGCAAUGGUAAGCGCUUGAUCCUGACACUUAAGUUGUCCAUUUAUCCUUGGAUCAUUUUGCUUACGGAGCAUUGGCCGUCCCCAAGAAAAAGUCCAGCACCUCGAGAACUUGGAACAGCAAAAUCCCGAUGGGGCGUGCAGAAUGGUAGGCCUUUGAUGGAUGAAGGCCCGUCAUCCCCAACUAGGGCUGCAAACGAAUCGAGCCGCUCGCGAGCGGUUCGAGUCAGUCAAACUCGAGCUCGAACUCGAGCUAAGAAUAUUAAACUCGUUAGCUCGCGAGCCGGCUCGCGAAUUUGAGUAUAUAUAUAUAAAUAUAUAUAUUAUUUUUAUUUUUAUUUAAUGAGUAUAUAUAUAUAUUAUUUUUAUUUUUAUUUAAUAAUAAAAUUAUGUAUAUUACAUAUAUAUUUUUUAUUUUUUAUUUUUAUAGUAAAAUUACGUAUAUAUCCUUAAUAUUUUAUUAUUUAUUCAGAAAAAAAUAUUAUUUUAUUUAUUUUUUAAAAAAUAAAAUAUUUAUUUUUUAUUUUUUUCGAGCUCGACUCGAAUCACUUGAACUCGAGCUCGAAAAUUGCCGGCUCGUCGAGUUUGAGCUUGAUAAAAUUUAGUCGAGUCUCGGCUCAAUUAGCUCAAAACUCGACUCGACUCGACUCGUUUACAACCCUAUCCCCAGCACACCAAAAAAAGAAAAAAAAAAGAAAAGAAAAGAGCAACAAAUGAUUUGAAGAGAAAAGUGAGGUAAGGAAGCGCGUUAAAAGUGACAUUGUGAAAGAGGAAGCGUUACCAAUUUGUUUCGGGCCAGAUUUUAAUACCAGUAUGAGCCCUUUAUGUGUUACUCUGUUUAUCCCGUCGCGUUCUGAUGUUUGUUGGAGUAAAAUGAAAUUUGGUUCACAAAGAAUCAAGCAGCCACGACACAUUUUACUAUUUGAGCCGGUUGCUGUUACUUACACACAUUAUCAAAUACCAAAACCAAAAAAUAAAAAAGGAAAAAAAUGUGAUUUGAUAGUGAUUUUCUAUCAUAACCAUCCCCAUUUAUUUGAUUGAGUGACGUAUUUUUGAUUUUAUGUUUUAACUGGCUAGUUUUUCGAUUAAUUUUUGCAAAAAAAAAAAAAGACAUUUGGGAUUUUGCGCGAGGUCUCUUUCUUGCCAUAGGAGCUAAGCUAUACUAGGUAGGUUAUCUUUAUAUUUUUUAUAACAAUAUUAAUAUAACUAUUAUUAUUAUUAGUAGAGAAGAUGUGUGAUUUUAAAUUCUAGCCUCUGAACCUUAAUCACUUUGAAUCAAAAGGACAUCUGAAUCAUGACCUCUUAUCCUUAACCCCCUAGACCAAGGAGUUUGAACUCUAGUUUUGAUAUAAAUUUUUGUUUGUUGUACCCCUAUAUUUUACCUUGAAAAUUCAUUGGCAAAUUAUAUUGAUUUUGUUAUCUAACAAAGUUGCCUUUACACUUGCAACGAAGAACCAAAUUUAAUUCUCUCACUAGAAGUUUAAGGGCAUGUUGUUAUAAUAUAACCAUCAUAAAAAUUGUAACUAACAAAAUAAUUGUAAUUUGAUAGAAACAAAUUUUACAAGAUCAUAGUUUUGCCUCUUUUGUUAAAUCAAUUAUAAAAGGACAUUAUUUAUACGCAUAGUAGGUAAGCCCUUAACAAUAUUCCAAGUAAACUGAAAAAAAGGUGAAAGCGUCGUCUUGAAAUAAUGUUAAGCAUAAACAUGAUAGUUUACUAAGAAUCAACUGAUUAAAUUAACAUGAUUUGCUAAUGAAUGUAAUGUUGCUCACGUUUUAAAAAGAACAAACAGGGUUGCUGGUUGAUAUUUUCUUAUCAUUAAUAUUUAAUACCAAAUAUUUAGAAGCCUUUAUUCCUCAAAAUAAUAACAUCUGCAAUUAGGGGUGGGCACGGGUUGGAUACCCGUCCCUAACAUGAUUUGGCUAACCCGGCCUUAAUAUAUCGGAUCAGUCAUUUUGCGACUCUAACCUGCUCUUAAUGUUUUCGGGUACCCGAAUAGCAGGUAUCCCAAAAAAAGGGGACGGGUCAUAGGGUACCCGCCUCUAAAAAAAACUAUUUUCCAAUAAAAAAAUUUAUUUUUCACUUAAUAUCAACAUGUUUUUCAAUAAAGUUUAUAUAUCACCAUUCUCACACAUUUCAUCCAACAAUCAAAUCGAUCUAUAUAUCACUAACAUGAUUUGUUCUUUUUAAAACGUGAGAAACAUUACAAUCAUUAGCAAAAUUAUGUUAAUUUAAUUAGUUGUUUCUUAUUAAACUAUCAUGUUUGCACUUAACAUUAUUUCAAGAUGACGCUUUUACCUUUUUUCAGUUUACUUAGAAUAUUGUUAAGGGCUUACAUACUAUGCGUAUAAAUACCUUUUAUAAUUGAUUUAACAAAAGAGGCAAAACUAUGAUCUUGUAAAAUAACAUCUGCAAUAGCUAAUAAACAAUUUUUUAUUCCACAAAGCAUGUGAUUUUGAUAGUUUAGGAUUUUUUUUUUUGUCAAUCGUCAUUUCUACUCUUACUCUAUCAUAAUUUAUUUAUAUGGAAGGUUUAACUGGGCAUAUGAAGGACCGAUAGGAACAGAAUCGCCACCGGAUCGGAUGCUCUCAAUUUAAAGAAUCACAUGAUGUGGUAAUAAGUGGAAGUCAACUUCUAACCCUUGCCCAAUAUAAAUCGGAAAAUGAAAUGGCACCAGAAAACAAAUGAAUUUGGAAUGAAGACCUCUUGUACCCCUAUAUGGUAAGUUUCACCGCAACUCUUCUCGGACACCUCCAUAACUAGCUACAAGCAGCCCGAUCCCCCAGUCCCCGCCGCCCCUCACCACCCAUCAGAAAAUGGUUAAGGGAAGCCAAGGAGAGCGCGUCAGGUCAUCUAAUUUUCCGUCUCCCAUCUCCAUUUUCCCCUUAUUCCGUAAUUUCACUGAAUUUGAUUUUUCUCCCGAUUUUUUGGGUUUAACCCUGCAGGCUUUACGUGAGAGGAACUAUAUUGGGGUACAAGAGGUCGCAGUCCAACCAGUACCCGAACACUUCGUUGAUUCAGAUCGAAGGAGUGAACGCAAAGGAGGAGGUGGCUUGGUACCUCGGCAAGAAGAUGGCGUACAUCUACAAGGCUAAGGUUAAGAAGAAUGGGGGUUGGACUUGAACUUAGCUCGAACAACGCCGCCGUUACCGUGCUAAGUUCAAGUCGUGAGUAACAGCGGCGUGGUCCGAGCUAAGUUCAAGUCUGCCCCCCAAGUCAGUGAGCGGCGUCGUCCGAGCUAAGAGGUAAUAUUAACUGUACUGCUGUUCCUUUAUUUAUCAUUCCUAUUUGGUUUGCUAUUUCUUUUUCUUAAAUGAAUGUUUCUGUAUUCUGAUAUUUCAGGGAUCAAGGGUUCAGGUCUGUUAGAUUUAGUCAAUAUUAGCCAGUAAAUAAAAUCCCAUUGCAUUUGGGAUUCUUUGCUUUAGAAUAGGUCUUUCAGUUUAGGAGUUAGUUAGCAGGAGACUCCUUAUUUAUUGUAUUUUCUGUUUGUUUUGUACGGCUAUAUAUAGCCUAAAUAUUUCUCGUUCAAUCACAGAGAAUUCCUUCCACAUUUUUUCUUUCCUCUGCAAUACUCUUUCCUGUUAACCUUACAUCUGGUAUCAGAGCCUCGCAAGAGGCUCUAUACGUAGAAGCAGCAGUCUUCUAAGGGAGUGCAGGCCACGAAAAUGGCAACAGAGAGUGCCUUUAUUCAACCAGCAGUGCCGAGGUUCGAUGGUCACUACGAUCAUUGGGCAAUGCUCAUGGAAAAUUUUCUUCGAUCAAAGGAGUACUGGAAUGUGGUAGAAAAUGGAGUUUUUGCAGCAGCAAAGGGUGUGACUUUAACUGAGGCACAAAAGAAAAUUUGUGAAGAGCAGACGUUGAAGGAUCUCAAAGCUAACAACUAUCUGUUUCAGGCAUUAGAUCGUUCCAUUUUGGAGACUAUCGUCAACAAAGAUACGUCAAAGAGUAUCUGGGACUCUAUGAAGCAAAAAUAUCAAGGAACAACGCGAGUAAAACGUGCGCAUCUACAGGCAUUGCGAAAGGAGUAUGAAAUUGCUCACAUGAAGGAAGGAGAAUCUGUGAAUGAGUACAUUGCUCGUGUUCUUGUCAUCACCAACAAGAUGAAAGCCAAUGGCGAAGAAUUGAAAGAUGUUGCUGUUGUGGAAAAGAUUCUGAGGUCAACGACACCUAAGUUUAAUUAUGUCGUCUGUUCAAUUGAAGAAUCUAAUGAUACAAGUAUUUUGUCAAUUGAUGAGCUGCAAAGCAGUUUGCUCGUGCACGAACAACGCAUGAGCAACACUGUACAUGAAGAACAUGCACUGAAGGUGACCCAUGGAAACCAAUAUGCAGGACAAGGAAGAGGACGUGGGAGCUUUAGAGGCAGAGGCCGUGGAAGAAACAGACAAAGCUUUGACAAAGCAACUGUGGAGUGUUAUGCUUGUCACAAGCUUGGUCAUUUUCAGUGGGAAUGCAAGAAAGGAGUGGCCAAUUUUGCAGAGAGUCAAGUGGAGAGUGAAGAACACAUGCUGCUGAUGGCUUAUGUUGAAGAAAAGAAGCAACACAAAACAGACUUGUGGUUUCUUGACUCUGGGUGCAGCAAUCACAUGAGUGGAAAAAGAGAAUAUUUUUCCGAUUUUGAUGAAAAAUUCACAGAUUCAGUGAAGCUGGGAAAUAAUUCAAACAUGGUGGUCAAUGAGAAGGGCAACAUCAGGUUGGAGAUUGAUGGAGUUGUUAGCAUCAUCUCAGGAGUCUUUUAUGUUCCGGAAUUGAAGAAUAAUCUGCUGAGUCUAGGACAAUUGCAAGAGAAAGGACUGAGCAUUUUAUUCCAACAAGGGCAAUGCAAAAUAUAUCACCCUGACAAAGGUUUGAUCAUGAAAGCUAAUAUGUCUGCAAAUCGAAUGUUCAUCUUGCAUGCCAUCUCCUUGCCUAUAGCACCCACCUGUUUUAACAUAGUCACAGAAGAUGUAGCGCAGUUGUGGCAUUGCAGGUUUGGGCAUUUAAGCUUCAGAGGCUUAUAAAUCUUGCAGCAAAAACAAAUGGUGGAAGGUCUACCAUUACUCAAGCCACCCUCGAAGCUGUGCAAAGAUUGUCUUGUGGGGAAGCAACAUCGAGAUUCAUUUCCAAUGAAAAGUUCUUGGAGAGCAUCUCAGAUUCUGCAGCUAGUUCAUGCCGACAUUUGCGGACCAAUUAAGCCAGCCUCGAAUAGCAAGAAAAGGUACUUGAUUACUUUUAUUGAUGAUUUUAGUCGAAAAACAUGGGUGUAUUUUUUGACAGAAAAAUCAGAAGCUUUUAACAUCUUUAAGAGUUUCAAGAUACAUGUUGAGAAAGCAACAGAUAUGUCACUAAAAAUGUUGCGUACGGAUCGUGGUGGAGAGUUUACAUCUCGAGAAUUCAACAAUUUCUGCAAGGAACAUGGAGUGCAAAGAUAAUUGACAGCUGCAUAUUCACCACAACAAAAUGGCGUUGCAGAACGGAAGAAUCGGACUAUCAUGAAUUUGGUUCGUAGCAUGCUAUCUGGAAAGAAAGUGCCUAAAACUUUCUGGCCAGAAGCAGUAAAUUGGGCUGUGCACGUUUUAAAUCGUAGUCCAACGCUGGCUGUAAAAGACAAAACACCAGAAGAAGCCUGGAGCGGAAUCAUGUCGUCAGUUCAACAUUUCAGAAUUUUUGGUUGUCUCCUAUGCUCACGUGCCUGACAGCUCGAGAACUAAACUAGAUGAGAAAAGCUUGAAAUGUGUUUUACUGGGAGUUAGCGAGGAAUCAAAAGCGUACAGGCUCUACGAUCCUAUCUCACAAAGGAUUAUGGUGAGCAGAGAUGUAGUUUUUGAAGAAUGUGAAGAAUGGAAAUGAGAUAAGCAACAUGAAUUAGUCGUUACUUGGGAGCUGGAAUGGGAAGAUGAUGAAAAGGCAGUGACUGAAGAAUCUCUUAUAGAAGAAGAUGCUGCCAACACACGAUCAGAGGAGUCUCUUACCACUAAUCAAGAAACUCUUCCAGAUCCCGUGGAAGGGAGGAGUAGGAAGCAACCAACUUGGUUGAAAGACUAUGUUUCAGGUGAAGGUUUGUCUGAUGAAGAGGCAGCAUUUUUUGCCUCAUAUACAGCGGCUGCCGAUCCACUUAAUUAUGAAGAAGCAGUGAAGAAUGAAAAAUGGAGAAAUGCCAUGGAUGCCGAGAUUGCAGCCAUUGAGAAAAAUGGUACAUGGGAACUAAUCGAUCGACCAAAAGGAGUCAAAAUAGUUGGAGUCAAGUGGGUUUACAAAACGAAACUUAAUGAGAAGGGAGAAGUCGACAAGUUUAAAGCGAGGCUGGUUGUAAAAGGAUAUGCACAGCAAUAUGGUAUAGAUUACACAGAAGUGUUUGCUCCAGUGGCCCGUAUGGAGACUGUUCGAUUGGUGAUCGCUCUAGCAGCACAAAAAGGGUGGGCUAUCCAUCAAUUAGAUGUGAAGUCUGCCUUUUUACAUGGAGAACUAGUUGAAGAUGUUUUUGUUGAGCAACCGUGUGGUUACAUUCAAGAGGGAAAGGAGAAAAAGGUGUACAAGCUGAAGAAAGCUUUGUAUGGGCUUAAACAGGCUCCGCGUGCUUGGUACAGCCGUAUUGAAACAUAUUUCAUGAAGGAAGGUUUUCAAAAAUGUGAUUAUGAGCAUACCCUUUUUGUUAAACGAAACAUGGAGGGCAGCAUGCUUAUUGUAAGUAUAUAUGUUGACGAUCUUCUUUUCACAGGAAAUGAUGGUUUGAUGUUUACUGAGUUUAAGAACUCGAUGAAGAAUGAGUUUGAUAUGACUGAUCUUGGUAAAAUGAAAUAUUUCUUCGGUCUCGAAGUCUUGCAGAAAUCAGGUGGAAUUUUUAUAACUCAAAGAAAGUAUGCUCAGGAGGUGUUGCAACGUUUUGAAAUGAACCAAAGCAAUUCUGUUCAAACUCCAAUGGUUCCUGGUUUCAAGCUUUGCAAGGAUGAAGAAGGAAUUAAGGUGGACAAGACUCACUUCAAACAAUUGGUAGGCUGUCUUAUGUAUCUGACUGCGACUCGUCCAGAUGUGAUGUUUGCAGUAAGUCUUUUGAGCAAAUAUAUGGAGAAUCCUACUCAGCUUCAUUUACAACUAGCAAAGAGAGUGUUGAGAUAUUUGCAAGGAACAACUGAGUAUGGAAUUUUCUAUAAGAAGGGAGGAAAUGAUGAUUUUUUAGCAUACACUGAUAGUGAUUAUGCGGGUGACUUGGAUGAUAGAAGAAGUACAUCAGGCUAUGUUUUUCUCUUCGGUUCUGGUGCUGUAUCAUGAUCUUCUAAGAAACAACCUAUUGUGAGUCUGUCUACCACCGAAGCUGAAUUUAUUGCUGCUGCUGCUUGUGCUUGUCAAGCAAUUUGGUUAAAAAGAGUGCUCAAAACGCUGGAUCAGACUCAACAAGAGAAAAAUACUAUCCAUUGUGACAAUAGCUCUGCAAUCGAGCUCUCAAGAAACCCAGUUUUGCAUGGUCGUAGUAAGCAUAUAGAUGUUCGUUUCCAUUUCCUUCGAGAACUUGCACAGACAGGUAUGAUAGAGUUAGUUCAUUGCAAUACUUUGGAACAAAUAGCUGAUGUGAUGACAAAGCCUCUUAAGUUGGAUGUUUUUCUGAAGCUGCGUACUAUGCUUGGAGUUUGUGCAGAGAGCAGUAUAAACUAAAUUCGUUCAGCAUUUAGUUUAAGGGAGGAAUUGUUAGAUUUAGUCAAUAUUAGCCAGUAAAUAAAAUCCCAUUGCAUUUGGGAUUCUUUGCUUUAGAAUAGGUCUUUCGGUUUAGGAGUUAGUUAGCAAGAGACUCCUUAUUUAUUGUAUUUUCUGUUUGUUUUGUACGGCUAUAUAUAGCCUAAAUAUUUCUCGUUCAAUCACGGAGAAUUCCUUCCACCUUUUUUCUUUCCUCUGCAAUACUCUUUCCUGUUAACCUUAUAGGGUCUUCAUGUACCCAAUCAAUAUUUAAUGUAUUCUUUAUCCGCUUUUUUAAAAAUUUUCCAAGGUUAUGUUUAUGGUUGCUUUUUGGUGAAAAAUUUGUUACCUAUACUUUCAGUGAGAUGUUUCUUUUGCAAUAUCUGAAUUAGAGUUUAAUAAUUUGGGUCAUUUACGGGGAUGCUCUGACUUUCAGUGAGAUGUUUCUUUUGCAAUAUCUGAAUUAGAGUUUAAAUAUGAAAUUUUGACUCGCCACUUUUAAGAUCAACAAUUGAAUUAAUUGGUUUGUGAUUGUUUUAAAAUUUGAAAGUGUCAAUCGCUUACUUCUUUUGUCAUACUUUUCCUUCGUUUCUUUUUUCUGUUCAAAUUUAAUUCAAUAUAAACACUUGAUAAUAUUUAGAAUUAAAUGUUUUCUUUGUUUUCAAUUUUUGAAUAAAAGUAAAAUGAACAUGAGUAGAAAAUUAACAUUCUUUAAAACUCCUUUAUAUAUCUAUUUAAUUUUACUUGAAUAUUACAUUCAGACGAAAUCAAAUAAAGACAUAUUAUAUGCUAUUUAUAUUGUUCAUGUGAAAUUAAAUAGACAUAUAUACAUGAGUUACUUUUUAAAGUUAUUUGCAUAUAUGAUCAAUGAUGGAUAAAAAAAUUUAAUUUAUAAAAUAUGAGGGUCGAAACAAUUCAUUUUGUGAAAUGUGAAAUAUUAUCAAUCAGAUUAUGUAAAUUUUGAUUUGCUAAUUUUGUCCUUAAAAAUGAUCACGUGCAAAAGCACGUGGUGGAUUCCAAUAAAAAAACUAGAUGCAAAUUUAGGUAGAGAUGAAAUUUGACAAAUAUGAAUUUAUAAGGGACGUAAAAAUACACUUUUAAAAGUGAGAAAAAAAAAUUCAUUUUGCAAACAAUAAGGGGUGUUUUGAACGAUUUUUCCUAAAAAAAAAUAUAAAAUAUGCUAUGUUUUAUUGAUUUAUUUCUUUAAUUUACGGGUCUAUUAUUUCACAUGUUUUACAAGAAAUUUUCAUCAUCUGUAAUUAAAAAAAAAAUCAAAUCUCAAGCAACGUUUGGAUUAAUAAAAGGGUGCAAUUUUAAAGGAAAAGCAAAUAAAUCAAAGCAGAAAAAAAAUUGUCUAACCAUUUUGUUUGCGUUACUUAUACAAAAAAAAAAAAAGAAAAGAAACACCGAAUAUUCUGAAAAAGAAAGGAAAGAAUAGAUUAUGUAUAGUUGCAUUUUAGCUGUAACUGAAUAAAAUCUAAUUGUAAACAUACUUUAAUACUUUAUUUAUUUUUUGUGUAUUUUCACAUUCAUCUUGUUAUUGCUAUAAUAAAUUUAUGAAAUAAUAAUAUUUAGAUGAAAAUUUUAAUAUUUUUUUAAGAGAAAGAAAUUACAAGAAGUAUUAAAAUAUAAAAAAUUUUAAAAUGUUAACAAUCAUCGCUACGAAAUUUAGUAUUCAAGAUUUUCAAUUUUUUCAUGUUCAAAAUCAUGGUUAAUUUAGUACAAAUGACUAAAUUGUUUCUGUCCAUGUAAAUACGUAAUACUUCUUAAGUUGCAAGCAUAGUAAAGUUAUUUGAUCAUUCAUGAGACAAGUGUUGGGCCCAAAUGACUUACAGGGAAAACAAGUGCUAUUUUCAAAUAUUCCGGGGAGGGUAGCGAAAUUGAUAGAAAUCUAAAGGGGGCUUUCUGAAAUAAUACCUAUCAUCAACACAUAUAACCAUCAUUGACUCACCUAGGGUUUUAACGCAACUGUUCUGGGACUCCUCCAUCACCCAUUCCCCGCCGCCCCUCAUCACCCAUCAGAAAAUGGUUAAGGGACGCCAAGGAGAGCGCGUCAGGUCAUCUAAUUUUCCGACUCCAUCUCCAUUUUCCCCUUAUUCCGUAAUUUCACUGAAUUUGAUUUUUCUCCCGACUUUUUGGGUUUAACCCCUGCAGGCUUUACGUGAGAGGAACUAUAUUGGGGUACAAGAGGUCGCAGUCCAACCAGUACCCGAACACUUCGUUGAUUCAGAUCGAAGGAGUGAACGCAAAGGAGGAGGUGGCUUGGUACCUCGGCAAGAAGAUGGCGUACAUCUACAAGGCUAAGGUUAAGAAGAAUGGGUGCAGGUUGGACUUGAACUUAGCUCUGACGACGCCGCUGUUACGGUGAAGAAUGGGUGUAGGUUGGACUUGAACUUAGCCCUGAUAACGCCGCUGUUACCGUUAGGUAAGAGCGGCGUUGUCAGGGCUAGGUUCAAGUCUGCCCCCCAAGUCAGUGAGCGGCGUCGUCCGAGCUAAGAGGUAAUAUUAACUGUACUGCUGUUCCUUUAUUUAUCAUUCCUAUUUGGUUUGCUAUUUCUUUUUCUUAAAUGAAUGUUUCUGUAUCCUGAUAUUUCAGGGAUCAAGGGUUCGGGUCUUCAUGUACCCAAGCAAUAUUUAACGUAUUCUUUAUCCGCUUUUUUGAAAAUUUUCCAAGGUUAUGUUUAUGGUUGCUUUUUGGUGAAAAAUUUGUUACCUAUACUUUCAGUGAGAUGUUUCUUUUGCAAUAUCUGAAUUAGAGUUUAAUAAUUUGGGUCAUUUACGGGGAUGCUCUGACUUGUAGAGUUUGGUAAACUGACCAAUUGGUUAGAUUAUGAGUAACUUCAAGGUUGGUCGAUAUUUGGAGUUGAUUUUUUGGGUUGGAGUCUGUAUAUAGGUAUGUGGUCGCAAUUUACUUUUGUUCCUCAUAUUGCUUUCAUAAGCGGUUUCCCUUUGACAAUGACGUGUGCUUGUACUAAUUUUUGAAGCUUUCUUUGUUAGAAUGGUUGUAAGAAGGAGCUGGUUUUUGUGAAGACUUUGCUUGAAGUUUUACACAUCCGUCUUUAUGCAAUACUAAAAUUUGUAGGCUAUAGAGCUCAGCUUGAGUAGCGGAUGGUUUUACCAGAUUUCUUGUGUUGGAUUUUAGUUUUACCAGAUUUAUAGUUAUGGCUUAAAUUUUCAGACAUGCAUCAUUUUAGUGAAUGAUGAGGUAACAUGGAGAAGUUUUUCAUGAGAACAGUUUGUGUGGUUACUGAUGAACAUGACCAAAAAAUGUGGGUUGAGAGAGAGCGAGCAAGAUGCGGAUCUGAAGACAAUACAGAGGAUGUCAAUCAUGCUUAAAAUUGUCUGUGUUACACAAUUCAUCCAAAAUAUGGCUGUUAGAUAUGCAGAAUUGAUGGAGACUUGUGUGCACAACAUGUGGGGGGUAAAAGGUACAGAUUUUGUUAAUUUUCACAAGUAAUAUCCCCUCCACAUUUCAGGAAGCAUGUUAGAAAAGAUGGCACUGUGGCUAGUUUCCAAGUAUUUUGAAACUUCCCCAGUAUAAGUUAUCCAAAGUUACUCAGACACAGUUACUGCGCACUCAUUUUUUAAAAAAUUAUUCCAAAUAAUCUUCAAUCCGGAGGCAUUUCAAAGUAACUUAGCCGGUUCAAUUAAACUGGUAUACUUGGAGGAGGCAUGCACGCAGAACUGAGCCGGUCCACCCUCACCAGGUCGACGCUAGGAAAGCCGCUUCAUGAAAAGGUUCUUCUUUCUCUGCACAUAAAACCUCCUCACCAUUUGCAGUUGAGGUGGGAAAAUAACUAGGGUUCACCUGCCACAUCUGCAGUAAUUACCCCCAAAAAAGAAAAGGAAAGAAAAAUGCCAUUCAUAUAGAAGAUAGAGAGACAGACGGAUUACAGCCAGUUCGAUUCAACUCUCCCCAUCGUCAUCGACAAUGGCGGUUCGUAUUUCCGCAUUGGGUAACAAAAGCCCUGAUUCUUUGGUUCGCUUAGAUUAAUUUGCUUUGUGAAGUUGUGUUUUGAUAAAAUUCCCGAUAAAUCACACCCUUCAAUUAUGAUUUGGUCUUGUGAUAGCUGGGCAGGGGAGGAUGAGCCUCGGGUUAUAUUCCGGAAAAUUUUAGGCCUCGUCAUAAAACCACUGGUAUCUCUUGAUAUACAUAUGUUCACAUAUAUUUGUAAUUUUCACUAGUGUAAUUUUUUCGGCAUUAUGCCAAUGUUAAUCUCUCUGCCUGUGAAGUUGGAUUUGAACUGAAUAUACCAUUGUGCUAGAUUUUUCCCCAAUCUUCUUCUUCUUCUUCUUUUUUCCUAUUUGAGCAUGGCAUGAAUGAUGGAAAACUUGUUUUUAACCGGUAGGCUGGAUAUCACUUGUAUAUACUGGCUCAACAUAAGCAAAAAUUCAUGGGUCAUGUGCUUGCCAAAUUUCUUUUACCAAAGAUUUGAUUUUUGAUGAAGAUGAAUAAGCUUCAAAUGUCUUCCACCCUCAAUUUUUGGUGCUUUCCUGUAAUUGAAUUCUUUUAUUUAUUAUUAUUAUUAUUAUUCAAAUAAUUGCAUGCUAGGUCAGUAUAUCUGCUUCUUUGUUUUUGCUGGAGCACUAGAUUGAGUGUAAUUAAUACAGUCAAAUGAUUUAUGUAUUUACAUUUGUGGCCUUUCCUGUUCCACUCAACCUAUAAUUUAUGAUUUGAAUGGAAAGAACAAAACCUCUGCAUUCACAUGUUUUAGAUUGCAGAGGUUUUGGACUCAUGGGUUCAAAAUGGUAGCUUCACAUGUUUGAAUCUACACGUAGUUCCGAACUUCGACUUUUAUAAUUUGAUUUUACAUCAAUUAAAAGUUUUUUCUGCAUUCUUUCUAAUGCACGUGAAACAGUCACAGUUGUUGGUGAUCAUAACCCAACGCUGCUAAGAUAUUUUGAUUGCACAUGUUCAGGACCUCGUUCAUCUUUUGAUGGCAAUGUCGUUUAUCAGUUUGAGAUAAUGGAAUAUAUAAGUUUCAUUAAUUUUGAGUAGUAACUGGGUUUCAAGUUACCUUGCUGAAACUUUUCACUCUAUAUUCUCCAAUGAAUACUCUUUACUAUAGAAUGGUGAUCAAUUUGUUUCAUAAUUCUAAUAGGAUAUAAAGCACACCCUCUGUGUCCAUAUGCGUCACACAGCAGUUACUUUUACCCUGUCAAUAGUGAGAUACUAAAAGUCGGUAAUUUGUUAGACUCCUAAGAAGUAUGUGUUAUGUGUUACAUAUUGAUAACUUGCUUUCUCAAUCUGCAUCACAAAACUUAUAUCUGUCAUUUUGUAGAAAUGUUCUCAGUGAAUUACCAUCUUGAUUUUAUGAGUAUUUACUAGCCAUAUGCCAAUCUUUGGAGUUUGUUAAGAAUAUAAAAGCCCCAAAUCAUUCUAGCCUUUACUGCUUUACAUAAUAUUACCUGAGGUCACAUAAGCAGUAUGUUUGAUAUUCAAGCAGUUUCCUCCGAAAUCCACCUUACUGUUUAUACAAGUCUGAACUGACUAAUUAACGCCUAAACGCUUAGCUUCAGUCAUAGCAAUUGUAUAUCUUACAAACCGUAAAGUUUAACAUAACAAAGAAACUCUGAUUGGGGGCUGUAGAUGAAUGUAGAAUAAGGCAGAAUACAUGACACAUAAUGUAAUUUUCCUUUUCUUUUUUCAGCUUUUCGUUAAUCCAAAUGUUUGGAUAUCUUAAUAUGUUCCAUCGUUUUAUCCAGGCGUGUGUUUUCGUGCACCCAUUUGGUCCGGUAGUGGUUCAGUCCCCUCCGUGUUACCCCAGAACCUCCUUAGGUUCGCCCCCUCCCCCUUAGUGUAGGAUAGAUUAGAUUAUACAACAGUUGUUGUCUUUGAAAAAAAAAUAACAAUAUGUUCCAUCAAGUUACCUUCAACAUGUUUGUAUGAUGCUAUUUUGCAUUGAUUGGAAACUGAAACAUUUCCGUUUGUUACAUCUACUUUAUGUUCACAGAUCAAGUUGCUGAGUUGUGUGUUUUUUCUUGCAUGUAUAGAUUCUUGACUUCGGUUUUGAUCGAUUAGGUGCUGAUCAGUCGCAGGUACUGCUACAUCACCUUUCAAUUCUUUACUCGGCUAUAUCAAAGUUCUUUUUGGUGUGAUCUGAUGUAAAAUGCAAUGUGAGAUUUAUCAAUUCGGAAGUUGCUGGUUUUUCUUACUGUCAUCAUAUUUUAUGUGAUUAUCCGGUUUUGCUUGCAAAGCUAUAUAUGUUGUAUAGCGUGAAUAGAUAGUAGAUUUAUUCCUGGAGAUCUGUUUGUCAUUGCAUCCACCCCCCCUAGUUUUACUUAUUAAACUUUUGUGACAUUUCGUGCAGACCUAAUGUUUCGUGUUGACUUUUUGUGUCAUAAGCAGAGAUUCUGAUUUGCACUUUAUAUAUAACUGAGGUAAAUACUGUGGGCUCAAAGCAUUGAAUGUCUUCAUUGAUCUCCUUAAAGAAUUUACAAGCUUUCUUUGCAGGCAAUGGUUGACAUCCCAAAAAUGUUGUGGUUUAGAAUAAGCUUUUUAUGUCAAUUUGAUUCAUUUCUUCAUGUUUAUUUUUGUGCAGCUUGUAGAUGUCUGACUUCAUUUGUGUUUUUUGCAAUAUUUAUCGCUUCAUAUUUGAUUCCUGAAUUUCUUGAUUUUAGAUAUCAGCGUUGGAAAUAUUCAUGUAGUUGAUUUGAUGGCAGAACGGAUUGACCAUCCUGUUUUGAUCACCGAGUGUGCUAUCCAGUCUCGUUGUAGAAUGGCAGAACUUCUUUUUGAGUCUUAUGGAGUUCCUUGAAUAGGUAUGCUUGCCAGUUGUUAGUUAACUGAAGCUUCUGCUUGUUUGGGCAAAUAUUUUAGUUACGGUGAAACAGGGAUGCAAACUCUUAAUAUUAUUGUCAACUGCAUGUUUUAUCUUUGUAUGGAUGUAGCAUGAUUGACACACGAUGGUCACAGCGUAUUGUACUUGUAUUUCUCGUUUUAUAUGGUCCGAUGCCAUGAGUGCUUGGACUGUUGCUAUUUUAAUGUAUCACUUACUUUUUACUUUCCCUUUAGCAGCAUUUGGUGUGGAUGCCACAUUCAGCUACAAGUACAACCAACAACUUGGAAUAUGUAAUAGUGAUGGUCUUGCAAUUUGCUCAGGAUUUAUGACUAGUGAUGCUGUUUGGGUAUGCUUCACUUGUUUUUACUGAAGUUCAUAGGGAUUUUGUGGAUAAUUCCAAUUUCAUGGAGCAGUGAGUACAGAAACAUAUCCAUCACAAAUCUCAACUAUGCGUCACUGCCGCAAUUCUUUUGCUGUUCCAUUAAAGGUUAGGUUAGUUUAUUCUGAAGUUCAGUGCCCAUACCAAGUCACUAUCUUGAUCUGGUGCCACUGAGUCUACUAUUGGUAUCAAGUAUGAAAAGACCUACAUUGAAUAGAUUAUAUUCUUCCAGAAGAAACAUGUUGUUCAUGUAGGGUACACCCAUCCUUAAUAAUUUCAUGAAUUUUGCCAUUAACUUUUUGUAGGUCAACACAAAUAUGCUUUGCCUAUGACCUAUUAAAGAAUUAGUUAUCUAUCUGUAUUUGCCGCAUUAUUCGUUGGAUAUGCACAACCUGUAGGCCUGUCCUACAAACCAGCCAAACACCUAAGCUUGAGCUUGGCAUCAUGGAUUCAGCCAAGUACAGCAUCAUGUAGUUCGCAGGUUGCUCAUAGGAGGAUGCCGAAAUUUUACUUUUAAUGGGCAACCUAUAAUUGACUUGUGAUAAAUAUUCUCAAACUAUACGGGGGCAAUACUUUAAUUUUGUAAAGGAGUAUUUUGAAGAAUUCCAAAUUUUCAAGGGGUGGAAAGGUAAUAUCUUGGAUAAGUAGGGUGGGGGUGGUCCCCUACACCCCUGCAACCAAAGGUCUGGGAUGGAUUGCUGGAGAUUAUUGGUGGUGCAAGGUUUGCAGAGUUUGGUGUUUGGCAUAUGUAGCGCCUUGAAUAUAAUAUUUUAGCUCAAGAUGCUUCUUUGAGGCUCAAGCUAGAAGAAAAUGAAUCACUGAGCUAAGAACCAAAUUGAGCAGCUUCCUUCUCACUGGGGACUAGGAAUGUUUGAUAGCUGAGCAAUGGUUUACUGUGGGCAAUUAAGAAGCCAGAAUAACAAAGUGAAACAUUAACACCUGCAUGUAAUACCAGUUAAUGUAUUCAGUCUCUGAUACUUAUCCUAGUGUUAUAUGAAGUACUGCACCUUAACAACUUGCAAUGGUCUACAAUGUAUAUGUGUAAGUUUGAAUUCUUAUCCAUUUUUCCUAUCACAGUUCAUAAAUGGAGAACCUGCUUACGAAGCAUGUUGCCGAACUAGUGUUGGUGGAUACCAUGUUACCGAUUAUCUGAAGCAGCUUCUUUCACUUAAAUAUCCCCAUCACAUGUAAGCUUGAGAAUGCCGGUCCCUCUGUAAAUGCAAUUGGAACUUUUCUUCAUUUGUUUUGUAGUCUUGAUCGCUUAUUUUUUUUAAAACAGUUCUAAGCUCACAUGGGAAAAAGUUGAAGACCUUAAGAUGGAACACUGUUACAUUGCAUCAGAUUAUACAUCAGAAGUCCGAAUAUUUCAGGUAGUGUAGUUUGGUCUUUCUGACUUGUCUGCAACUAUUCUGCUUUGCUUCUGCAAUCAUCUAAGCAAUUCAACUUGUAGCAGAAAGGGGAUAAAGAAGCUGAAGAAAAGACCAGGUGCUGGCAGCUUCCUUGGACUCCUGCACCAGCUGAAGAACAACCUUCAGAAGAAGAGCUAGCUGGAAAGGCUGCUCUAAAGGAGAGACAGGGUCAAAGACUAAGGGAGAUGGCUGAAGCAAAGAGGUCCUCUCGAAUUAAUGAGCUUGAAAAUGACAUUAGAGGUUUGGAAUUCCUCUUAAAGCAGCUCAAGCUGGUUGAAGAGAAUAAUGUUCCUGCAUUUCUAAAGAGAGACUGGCUAUGCCUCUAAACAGGAAAUAGAAUCUAAUCUGGCAAAGGCAAUACAAUCUUUAUGCAAAGCAAAGGGCGAACAAGUUGAAACUGAGGAGAAGAUGGACGCUUCCACGGCUGACAAGUAUAAUCUUGUCAAUGUGCCUGACAAUGUGCUGACACCAGAGCAGGUGUGUGUUCCGAUUCCAUGUGUUCUAACAGAUCUUUGUCUUAUAGUUUCUGUUGAUUUUGGUAUUUUCUACUGCACAGCAAUUUCUAGUUAAACAAGAUACAAGAGCAGUGAAUGGCUGCUAAAUUGGAACCACAGUAUUGUUUUCAUGUAAUGUUCGUAACUUUCAGAAAUUUAAAUUUUUCACUCUUGUUUCCAUGGCAGCUUAAAGAGAAAAGGAAGCAGUUGUUUCUCAAAUCCACAACUGAGGCCAGGCAACGAGCUAAACAGAAGCGGAUUGAAGAGGAAUUAGAAAGAGAAAAAGCAAAUGAAAAUGGAGGAGGAAAAGCGCUUGUAUGUUUGUGAUUCGCAAGCUUAACUUGUCUAAUCAUUGCUUGAUGAUAUUGUAGAUAUGUGGUCUCUUUUACGUUGUAUUGUCAUUACAUUAUGCUUUGCUUCUGAAUGUAGAGAGAAGCCAGACGUGAUUUGGAGGAUUUACGUGCUAAAUACCGAGAGCUUUCUGAGAGAGUGGAGCAGCGAAAACGCUUGAAGCCAAAUGGCAACAACACAAAUGGGAACCAAAAUGGUUCUGGAGGUGUGGGCCGUGGUGAAAGAUUGAAUGUUGCUCAAAGAGAGAGGAUGCGCCUCCUGACAACAGCUGCAUUUGAUCGAGGGAAGGGCGAGGACACUUUUGGUAGCAUUUGGGAGUUUUGUGGGGUAGAAAAUGAUGGAAAGCAUUUGAUUUGGAUAAAUGAACUCCUACUAUUAUGGUUACCACCGAAUGUGGGCGGAAAGCAUCGAAAAAAAGCUAAGAAUGCCUAAUAAAAUUUUUCUAAAUGCCAAUUUUGUUCUCAAAUGUGUGCUGAAUAAAUUUUUAUUAACACACACACACACACACACACACACAUAUAUAUAUCCAAAAUCAUCACUAAUCCUACCUUAACUCAAAAACAAUAUUAAAAUCUAAUUUUUUUCCUUUCUCUUCUUUUCUUUUCUUUCAUAAUGUAGCAUUUUCUAUCAUUUGUUUUCUAAUCUAAACAUCCAAAUUAACUAUAAAUAUUAGAAUUUGAAAGAUUUUGAAAAGAAAUUGAACGAUACAAAGUAUGAUAUUUUUAAAGAAAAAAUUCACAAUAGAUGGCUAAUGAUAAAAAAAUAGUAAAAUUUGUUCAAAACGUACAUCAUAUUUUACAAAAUAAUUUUUUCGUCCUUCAUUUAAAAAAGUGUAUUUUUACGUUUCUUACAAAUUGAUAUUGAACAAUUUUGGUACCUACCUAAAUUUUUGACUAGUUUUUUAUUGGAAUCUAUCACAUGCUUUACACAUGAUCAUUUUUUAAGGACAAGAUUGUCAAAUUAAAAUUUACAUAAUUUGAUCCAUAGUUCCUCAUAUUUAACAAAAUAAAAUUUUGUCUCUCAUAUUUCACAAAAUAAAUUGUAUCAUCUCUCAUAUUUUAUAAAAUAAAUUUUUUCAUCCCUUAUUGACUAUGUGUACAAAUAAUUUUUUAAAUCUAACUAAUUUUACUUAAAUAAUAUGAAUAGCAUGUAAUUUAUUUUUAUUUGCUUUCAUCUAAGUAGACUAAUUGUAGUUAUACACAUGCUAUUCAAUAGAUAUAUACAUUGGUUUAAAAAUAAUAAUUUUAUUUUAAAUCAAUAUAUAUUUUUAUUUGAUUUCACCAUGUGAAUCUAUUCAAUAUUUAUGGCUUUUUCCCUUUUGUUAAUAAUUCAUUUAUUGAGUUAUAUAAUAAGGUCAUCUAAUAAAUCGGUCCUAAAUCGAAUUCUAUAGUCAUGCUAACAAAUUGUAUUUUAAAUAUGAAAUUUUGACUCGCCACUUUUAAGAUCAAUAAUUGAAUUAAUUGGUUUGUGAUUGUUUUAAAAUUUGAAAGUGUCAAUCAUUUACUUCUUUUGUCAUACUUUUCCUUCGUUUCUUUUUUCUGUUCAAAUUUAAUUCAAUAUAAACACUUGAUAAUAUUUAGAAUUAAAUGUUUUCUUUGUUUUUAAUUUUUGAAUAAAAGUAAAAUGAACAUGAGUAGAAAAUUAACAUUUUUUUAAACUUCUUUAUAUAUCUAUUUAAUUUCACUUGAAUAUUACAUUCAGACGAAAUUAAAUAAAGAUAUAUUAUAUGCUAUUUAUAUUGUUCAUGUGAAAUUAAAUAGACAUAUAUACAUGAGUUACUUUUUAAAGUUAUUUGCAUAUAUGAUCAAUGAUGGAUAAAAAAAUUUAAUUUAUAAAAUAUGAGGGUCGAAACAAUUCAUUUUGUAAAAUGUGAGAUAUUAUCAAUCAGAUUAUGUAAAUUUUGAUUUGCUAAUUUUGUCCUUAAAAAUGAUCACGUGCAAAGCACGUGGUGGAUUCCAAUAAAAAAACUAGACGCAAAUUUAGGUAGAGAUGAAAUUUGACAAAUAUGAAUUUGUUAGGGACGUAAAAAUACACUUUUAAAAGUGAGAAACAAAAAAUUCAUUUUGCAAACUAUAAGAGGUGUUUCGAACGAUUUUUCCUAAAAAAAUAUAAAAUAUGCUAUGUUUUAUUGAUUUAUUUCUUUAAUUUACGGGUCUAUUAUUUCACAUGUUUUACAAGAAAUUUUCAUCAUUUGUAAUUUACAGGGAAAAUAAGUGCUAUUUUCAAAUAUUCCGGGGAGGGUAGCGAAAUUGAUAGAAAUCUAAAGGGGGGUUUCUGAAAUUAUACCUAUCAUCAACACAUAUAACCAUCAUUGACUCACCUAGGGUUUUAACGCAACUGUUCUGGGACUCCUCCAUCGCUAGCUACAAGCAGCCCCAUCACCCAUUCCCCGCCGGCCCUCAUCACCCAUCAGAAAAUGGUUAAGGGACGCCAAGGAGAGCGCGUCAGGUCAUCUAAUUUUCCGACUCCAUCUCCAUUUUCCCCUUAUUCAUUAAUUUGAUUUUUGUCCCGAUUUUUUGGGUUUAACCCUGCAGGCUUUACGUUAGAGGAACAAUACUGGGAUACAAGAGGUCGAAGUCCAACCAGUACCCGAACACUUCGUUGAUUCAGAUCGAAGGAGUGAUCACAAAGGAGGAGGUGGCUUGGUACCUCGGCAAGAAGAUGGCGUACAUCUACAAGGCUAAGGUUAAGAAGAAUGGAUCUCAUUACCGCUGCAUUUGGGGAAAGGUUUGCCGGCCUCACGGUAACAGCGGCCUUGUCCGAGCCAAGAUGAAGUCCAACCUGCCCCCCAAGUCAAUGGUAAUACUAACUGUACUGAUGUUCCUUUAUUUAUUUUUCCUAUUUGGUUUGCUAUUUGUUUUUCUUAAAUGAAUGUUUCUGUAUUUUGAUAUUUCAGGGAUCAAGGGUUCGGGUCUUCAUGUACCCAAGCAAUAUUUAAGGUAUUCUUUAUCCGCUUUUUUGAAAAUUUUCCAAGGUUAUGUUUAUGGUUGCUUUUUGGUGAAAAUUUUGUUACCUAUACUUUUCAGUGAGAUGUUUCUUUUGCGAUAUCUGAAUUAGAGUUUAAUAAUUUGGGUCGUUUACAGGAUGCUCUAACUUGUAGAGUUUGGUAUUAUGAGUAACUUCCAAGGUUGGUCGAUAUUUGGAGUUGAUUUUUUGGGUUGGGAGUCUGUAUAUAUAGAUAUGUGGUCGCAAUUUACUUUUGUUCCUCAUAUUGCUUUUAUAAGUUGGAUUCUGUAUAUAUAGAUAUGUGGUCGCAAUUAAUUUUUGUUCCUCAUAUUGCUUUUAUAAGUGGUUUCCCUUUCACAAUGAUGUGUGCUUGUACUAUUUUUUGAAGCUUUCUUUGUUAGAAUGGUUGUAAGGAGGAGCUGGUCUUUGUGAAGAAUUUGCUUGAAGUUUUACACAUCCGUCUUUAUGCAAUACUAAAAUUUGUAGGCUUAUAGAGCUCAGCUUGAGUAGCGGAUGGUUUUACCAGAUUUCUUGUGUUGGAGUUGAGUUUUACCAGAUUUAUAGUUAUGGCUUUAAUUUCAGACAUGCAUCAUUUUAGUGAAUGAUGAGGUAAUAUGGAGAAGUUUUUCAUGAGAACAGUUUGUGUGGUUACUGGUGAACAUGACCAAAAAAUGUGGGUGGAGGGAGAGCGAGCAAGAUGCGGAUCUUAAGACCAUACAGAGGAUGUCAAUCAUGCUUAAAAUUGUUUGUGUUACACAAUUCAUCCAAAAUAUGGCUGUUAGAUAUGCAGAAUUGAUGGAGAUUUGUGUGCACAACAUGUGGGGGGUGAAAGGGACAGAUUUUGUUAAUUUUCAUGAGGGGACUUUGAUUUGUUAAGUAAUAUCCCCUCCACAUUUCAGGAAGCAUGUUAGAAAAGACGGCACUGUGGCUAGUUUCCAAGUAUUUUGAAACUUCCCCAGUGUAAGUUAUCCAAAGUUACUGCAGACACAGUUGAAAGCAAUUUUGUUGAUCGGCGCAGAUUUAUCCUAAUUUAAUAUAAUGAGUUAGAUUAGCAUUCAAUAGCUUUAAGUUGACUUCUUUUUGGACACAGUUUGAUAUUCUGCUGCUGGGGCACUGAUGUGUAAUGUUUAGCUUGCGGGGGGUUUCUCAUAUGCAUGUAUGCUACAUUUUCCAUGUUUGACCUGUUCCAUCUGGCUAUGACUAGAUUUUUGCAAUUUGUUGGAGCUCCUGAAAUUUGAUAACUGCGUCCAUGCUGUGGAGUGGUACACUAGACAUUCAGAAGCUACUCCUGAUUUUUGUGAUCAUUAUCUGUUUCUACUGUUUCCAUUCUUAGUGUUGCCUUGAAUUAGGUUUUGUUAAAUUGGUAUGGAGUCGUUUUUGACUAUUUGCUUGGCUACUAGUCAUUUGUUUGGACAUUUACAGUUUUCUUAUGUUGUUGCAGUGUUCCAGCAAAAGUAGGAGCAGACUGCUUGAGGUCAUUGGUGGCUUUAGAAGGUCAUUGGUGAUUGAAGGACGGUAUUUAGAGUCAAAAUAUACCCCUUUUUUUGUGGACUUACCCUGGUCUCUGAAUUUAUCAUGUUUGUUUAAUACUAUGAAUUGAACAUGCAAUCUGAUGAGACAAAUUUUGAUUGUUUGGAUUUAUCCUUUUUCACUUGGGUGUUUUUGAUCGUUAGUCAACCAGAAUUAUUGUUGAUUCGUCUCUUCAUGAUGUGACUGUGGGUAUUGUUUGAGGUUAGCUUCCUUCUGAUUUUCUCGAUAAUUUGCUGUCGAUCAAAUCAGUUGGGAACGUUCCUACCCGGUUCUUGUUUACAUCUGGUACGCGAAUCUGUUAACGAUAGCUCUUCUUCCUCUGACUUUUUCCCAAGAAAAUUGUUGAACUAAAGAGACUCUAUAGUGAAUAAUAAGUGCGGCUUCUUAAUUCUUAUACUGGAAGGUAUGUCUGCAUCGGCAGGUGGUUUUUUUUUUUUUGGUUGGCCCGCUUUCGAACUCUUUUACCUCUUUCUUUUGACAAUUUCUUAACAGGUUAAUUACCUUUACCUCCCUCAAUUUUUUUCUGUAUUUCAAUCAGCCCCUUCGGUGUGAUCAAAUUACAAAUUCAUCCCCCAAGAUCAAAAUUUCAAAACUAUCACACCCUUACCAUUUGUUCUAUAACGUUGACCACAUAAUCAUGUUUCCAAUAUAUGAGCAAAGAUUUAUCGUGAAAGUCCUAAAAUGUCCAUGUAAACCCGAAGUUCUUCUUUUCCUGUGUUUUCAUGCGCAAUUAAGUGGGCCUUGGAGAUAAAAAUUAUGGAGGCGCCUCCAAGCCAAAUGCUUCGAUUUUGCAAUAAUACAACAAAAUUUCACUAAAAUAGAUCACAAUUCUUCUAGGAAAUAAAGAAAAAUUAAGUUUAUCAAAAAUUGAGAAGCCCAAAGAAUUUGUUCCAAAAAUUUAUGAAAAUAUAAAGGGAAAAAAAAUAAAUGAUUUACAAAAUAAAGGACAAUAAGCUAUUAGUUCUUUAGAGCAAGUCUUAAACGGUACAUGCAAACUAGGAUAAUCUCAAGGGAAAAAAGGGAAAAGAGGAAUGAGGUUUAAUAGAUGAUUUUUGCAAUUUCACCGAAAUAUGCAUACCCAAGCACUCAAAUUGCCGAUCUACCAUAAUCUUCAUCAUAUCCAUCUCAAACACCAUAAAAUCUUCAGAACAUUUAGGGUGAAUUAAAAAUAAAUUCUAACCGGCUUUCAAAUUUAUCCAAAAUUUAGUUUAUCGUGGUAUGAUUUCUCAAUAUUGUAUGCUUUUUUGGGUCUUGUGUAUUUCAAUGGAGGCUAGAAAAAGACGGGAGGGCAGAAGGUUAGCGGGUGUCUUGGUGAUUGGUGAAGCAUACUUUGCAAUCAGAUUUUGCAGCAUCCCAGACUACAAGGGGUAAGAUCGAGGGGCAUGAAGGUAGGAUCUUGAGAGCUUGGACAAUAUAUCAAGAAUUGUAGGGAUGGAAGAAUUCUUCAGUCUUUCUUUGUUCUUUCUUCCUCAUUGAUUUUUUUCUUCUAGCCCCUGCUUGUUUCUUUGAAGCAAAAUUCUCUGUCUUUGGUUUCUGGUAGCUCAUUUACUAAUUUCAUUUUUGGCAUGUUUUAGAUGACGGUAUUGUUGUACCUUUGUAACAUCCGUUAAUUGGGUUUAAACAGUGUCAUUUGUAUGGGGUGAUUGUUAUUUGAUUAAAACUCAAGGUUUAUUUUGUAGUUUGGCUGAACCUCCGAGGAGUUGUAUGUAAUUAACCCUUCCUUAACCUUAAUCUUUUCUAGUUACUAUUUCGUUUCCUUAAAAAUGAUGUUAAAAAUCAAACUGUCUGCAUUGGCAUCCAAGAAUGUGAGAAUAUGGGGUUAUUUUGAUGGGUAAAAACUUGAGUAAAUUUGGUUUUCAAAAAUUCAAUGAUUCAGAAUGCGUCACUUUUCGAAUUAUUUGCAUUCGCAUCAAAGAAUAUGAGAAUGUGGGGUUAUUUUGAUGGGUAAAAGUUGGGAUGAAUUUGGUUUUCAAAUAUUCAACGAUCAAGAUUGUGUUAUAUUACUUGGUAAGCGAGGUGACACAAUUUAGAUUAUUGAAUUUUUGAAAAUUGCAAGUGAUUUAACAUAAUUUAGAUCAUUAAAUUUUUUAAAAUUGCAUCUACUCAAGUGUAAGUAAUUUUAACAUGGAUCAAUCUUCUUCUUGUGGAACGACUUGCAGGGGUAACUUGGUUCUUUAUUUUUUCUUCUUUUGGAUAACUGUCAAAUUUUACAUUUCCGACUUUUUUAUUGUGCUUAAGUUGUCCAUUUAUCCUUGGAUCAUUUUGCUUACGGAGCAUUGGCCGUCCCCUAGAAAAAGUCCAGCACCUCGAGAACUUGGAACAACAAAAUCCCGAUGGGGCGUGCGGAAUGGUAGGCCUUUGAUGGAUGAAGACCCCGUCAUCACCAACUAGGGUUGCAAACGAAUCGAGCCGCUCACGAGCGGUUCGAGUCAAGCUCGAGCCAGUUCGAGUCAAACUCGAGCUCGAACUCGAGCUAAGAAUAUUAAACUCGUUAGGCUUGCGAGCUUGAGUAUAUAUACAUAUAUAUAUAUAUUUUUUAUUUUUAUUUAAUAAUAAAAUUAUGUAUAUUAUAUAUUAUAUAUUUUUUAUUUUCAUAGUAAAAUUACGUAUAUAUCCUUAAUAUUUUAUUAUUUAUUCAGAAAAAAUAUUAUAUUAUUUAUUUUUUAAAAAAUAAAUUUUUUAUUUUUUUCGAGCUCGACUCGACUUGAUUUGAGUCGAGCUCGAGCUCGAAAAUUGUCGGCUCGUCGAGCUCGAGUUUGGUAAAAUUUAGUCGAGUCUCGACUCGAUUAGCUCAAAACUCGACUCGACUCGACUCGUUUGCAGCCCUAUCCCCAACACACCAAAAAAAGAAAAAAAAAAAAGGAAAGAAAAGAGCAACAAAUGAUUUGAAGAGAAAAGUGAGGAAAGGAAGCGCGUUAAAAGUGACAUUGUGAAAGAGGAAGCGUUGCCAAUUUGUUUCGGGCCAGAUUUUAAUACCAGUAUGAGCCCUUUAUGUGUUACUCUGUUUAUCUCGUCUAGGGAUGGCAACGGGGCGGGGUUGGGGCGGGGGACCCCUCCCCCGUCCCCCGCCUCCAGCUCCCCCCGCCCCGCCCCCACGCCCGCCUUGCCCCGCUUCCCCCACGGGGGCACCCGCGGGGUUAAUAAAAUUUUAUUAUAUAUUUUUAUUAUAAUUAAAUUUUAAUAAAUAAUCAAGUACUAAAAUAUCAACACAUCACCAAAUUAUUAUUCAUUGUAAUUUUACAAUUGAAACUCAUAAAAACAAUCAAACAUAAGUUAUUUGAAUACAAUCCAAUAUGAUGAAAUAAAUAUAACUAAAAUAGUCAAAUUUUCACUUUUAGUACAAAUGCAAUCACUAAUUCAUCAUCGUAUUUGUGUUUUUUUUUUUUGAGAAAAAAGUGUUAUUCUAUUAAGUGUAAUUAGAAAUUUAGUAUAAAUGUAUUAGUAAAUUUAGUAUAACUAAUUAAAAAAUUCUAUUAGUAGACAUGUAUAAUUAUUCAUAUAAUUGAUAAUAUCAAUUAUAUUAUAUAAACUAAUAUACAUUAUAUAAUACAUCUAACUAAUAAUAUCAUUAUCAUAAGUUUAUAACUAAUUAACUUACAUAUAAUAUAUAGUCAUUUAUAUAUAUAUAUAUAUAUAUUUUUUACGGGUGCCGGGGCGGGGGAUGGGGCGGGGAAGUAUACCCCCGCCCCGUUUCUAAGCGGGGGGAAAAAAUUCCCCCCUGCCCCAACCCCGCCCCGUGAACCCCCCGCUGGGCGGGCACCCGCCCCCAUUGCCAUCCCUAAUCCCGUCGCGUUCUGAUGUUUGUUGGAGUAAAAUGAAAAUUGGUUCUCAAAGAAUCAAGCAGGCACGACACAUUUUACUAUUUAUCCAGUUGCUGUUAUUUACACACAUCAUCAAAUACCAAAACCAACAAAUAAAAAGGAAAAAAAAUGUUAUUUGAUAGUGAUUUUCUAUCAUAACCAUCCCCAUUUUUUUGAUUGAGUGACGUAUUUUUUAUUUUAAGUUUUAACUGACUAGUUUUUUGAUUAAUUUUUGUAAAAAAAAAUAUAUUUGGAAUUUUAUACGAGGUCUCUUUCUUGCCAUAGGAGUUAAGCCAUACUAGUUAGGUUAUCUUUAUAUAUUUUUAUAACAAUAUUAAUAUAACUAUUAUUAUUAGUAGUAGAGAAGAUGUGUGAUUUUAAAUUCUAGCCUCUGAACCUUAAUCACUUUGAAUCAAAAUGACAUAUGAUCAUGACCUCUUAUCCUUAACCCCCUAGACCAAGGAGUUUGAACUCUAGUUUUGAUAUAAAUUUUUGUUCGUGGUGCCCCUAUAUUUUACCUUGAAAAUUCAUCGGGCAAAUUGUAUUGAUUUUUUUAUCUAACAAAGUUGCCCCUACACUUGCAACGAAGAACCAAAUUUAAUUCUCUCACUAGAAGUUUAAGCGCAUGUUGUUAUAAUAUAACCAUCAUAAAAAUUGUAACUAACAAAAUAAUUGUAAUUUGAUAGAAACAAAUUUUACAAGGUCAUAGUUUUGCCUCUUUUGUUAAAUCAAUUAUAAAAGGACAUUAUUUAUACGCAUAGUAGGUAAGCCCUUAACAAUAUUCUAAGUAAACUUAAAAAAAGGUGAAAGCGUCGUCUUGAAAUAAUGUUAAGCAUAAACAUGAUAGUUUACUAAGAAUCAAUUGAUGAAAUUAACAUGAUUUGCUAAUGAAUGUAAUGUUUCUCACGUUUUAAAAAGAACAAACAGGGUUGCUGGUUGAUAUUUUCUUAUCAUUAAUAUUUAAUACCAAAAAUUUAGAAGCCUUUAUUCCUCAAAAUAAUAGCAUCUACAAUUAGGGGUGGGCACGGGUUGGGUACCCGUCCCUAACAUAAUUUGGCUGACUAGACCUUAAUAUAUCGGAUCAGUCAUUUUGCGACUCUAACCUGCUCCUAAUGUUUUCGGGUACCCGAAUAGCGGGUAUCCCAAAAAAAGGGGACGGGUCAUAGGAUACCUGCGUCUAAAAAAAACUAUUUUCCAAUAAAAAAAUUUAUUUUUCAUUUAAUAUCAACAUGUUUUUUAAUAAAGUCCAUAUAUCAUCAUUCUCACACAUUUCAUCAAACAAUCAAAUCGAUCUCAUAAAUUUAUUACAUAUUAGAAUUAUAAUAUCUAAUGGACAAAACGAAAUUUUAUAAUAAUUUUGAGUACAUCACCAUUCUCACACAUUUCAUCCUUAUACAAUACAACAAACACAAGGAUAAUAAGUAUUUGGUAACUUUCCCAACUUCCUUAAGGAUGUUAUGGUACAAUACUACAUCCCAAAUAAGUUGAUUGUGAAAUCAAGUUCGGAAAAGAAUUGAAUAUAACUAACUAUUUUUUCGAAAAUAACCAAAAUAACCUUAAAAAAUCUUCCCCAACUUCUUUACAUAUUUGGAAUAGACCUUAUGGUAUUAAAGGUGAUGAAAAAGAAAAAUAAAUUUCUUAAACGAGACAAAUUUAAGAGACAUAGUUGCAAUAAAAUAAAUAAAUAAAUGAAAAAGGCAAAUGUUUUAAUUAUCUAGCUAACAGAAAAUUGAAACUCCAAACACAAAUUUUUAAUUGAAUUGAUGCAAAAUUUGCAGGAAAGAUCGAUGAAGGUAGAAUAAAAAUAAAAAGAAUGAAAGGGAUGAACAAUUUUUAUAAUAGAGUUUCACAAUUUUUUUUUUAUUUUGUUCAGUUUGUUCGUGUUUCACCGAGAAUAUUUGCUUUCUUCAAACAAAAUGAGGAGAGGUGGAUUAUACAGAAUUAGAAUAUGAGGCUGUAAGCCACUUCACUUGUCCUUAAAAUUAAAAAUUACAAAGUUAUAAAAUGAUCUAUAAUUUUUUAAUAUUUAUAAAAUAUACCUUGUGGGUCGGGUACCCGCGAUUUUUUUUUAUCCGUACCCGUACUCGAUUUUUGCGGGUACCCGACCCUCAUCUGCCCUGCUAAGAAAAAUCGGAUCGGAUUCAUUGGAUUUUUGGAUCGACCGAUUUUUUUGCUCACCCCUAUAUGCAAUAACUAAUAGAUAAGUUUUUAUUCCUCAAAGAAUGUGAUUUUGAUAUUGUAGGAGUUAUUUGUUUUUUUAUCAAUCGUCAUUCCUAUUCCUACUCUAUCAUAAUCUAUUUAGGGGAGAUUCAACUGGGCCUAUAAAGAACCGAUAAGGAUAGAAUCACUAUUGAACUAGACAAAGUGCACUACGCGCCCAUCUGAAUUUAAAGAACCAUAUAAUGUCAUUGGUGAGAAUCAAGUUCGAACCCUUGUCCAAUAUAAAUUGGAAAAUGAAAUGGCAUCAGAAAACAAAUGAAUUUGGAAUGAAGACCUCUUGUCCCCAAUAUAGUUCCUCUCACCUAGGGUUUUACCGCAACUCUCCUCGGACUCCUCCAUAAGGACCAUAACUAGCUACAAGCAGCCCCUUCCUCACCACCCAUCAGAAAAUGGUUUAGGGACGCCAAGGAGAGCGCGUCAGGUCAUCUAAUUUUCCGACUCCAUCUCCAUUUUCCCCUUAUUCAGUAAUUUGUUUAAUUGAACUUGAUUUUUCUCCGCAUUUUUUGGGUUUAACCCUGCAGGCUUUACAUGAGAGGAACUAUAUUGGGGUACAAGAGGUUGCAGUCCAACCAAUACCCGAACACUUCGUUGAUUCAGAUCGAAAGAGUGAACACAAAGGAGGAGGUGGCUUGGUACCUCGGCAAGAAGAUGGCGUACAUCUACAAGGCUAAGGUUAAGAAGAAUGGAUCUCAUUACCGCUGUAUUUGGGGAAAGGUUUGCAGGCCUCACGGUAACAUGGAGAAGUUUUUCAUG